RNAcentral lists this unclassified non-coding RNA (351 nucleotides) under soil metagenome. Its description in RNAcentral is "partial contains 5.8S ribosomal RNA, internal transcribed spacer 2, and large subunit ribosomal RNA". The stretch from base 1 to 120 matches the Rfam family "5.8S ribosomal RNA", at positions 35 to 154 of the family's 154-position model. The record is from RNAcentral.
GAUGAAGAACGUAGUGAAAUGCGAUAAGUAAUGUGAAUUGCAGAAUUCAGUGAAUCAUCGAAUCUUUGAACGCACAUUGCGCCCGCCAGUAUUCUGGCGGGCAUGCCUGUUCGAGCGUCAUUUCAACCCUCAGGCCCCCAGUGCCUGGUGUUGGGGAUCGGCCCAGCCUUCCUGUAAGGCCGCCGGCCCCGAAAUCUAGUGGCGGUCUCGCUGUAGUCCUCCUCUGCGUAGUAGCACAACCUCGCAGUUGGAACGCGGCGGUGGCCAUGCCGUUAAACACCCCACUUCUGAAAGUUGACCUCGGAUCAGGUAGGAAUACCCGCUGAACUUAAGCAUAUCAAUAAGCGGGGA